RNAcentral lists this ribosomal RNA (615 nucleotides) under uncultured bacterium. RNAcentral describes it as "bacterial SSU rRNA". The stretch from base 1 to 545 matches the Rfam family "Bacterial small subunit ribosomal RNA", at positions 338 to 873 of the family's 1533-position model. The record is from RNAcentral.
CCUACGGGAGGCAGCAGUAGGGAAUCUUCCACAAUGGACGAAAGUCUGAUGGAGCAACGCCGCGUGAGUGAUGAAGGUUUUCGGAUCGUAAAACUCUGUUGUAAGGGAAGAACAAGUACGAGAGGGAAUGCUCGUACCUUGACGGUACCUUGCGAGAAAGCCACGGCUAACUACGUGCCAGCAGCCGCGGUAAUACGUAGGUGGCAAGCGUUGUCCGGAAUUAUUGGGCGUAAAGCGCGCGCAGGCGGCCUUUUAAGUCUGAUGUGAAAGCCCCCGGCUCAACCGGGGAGGGUCAUUGGAAACUGGAAGGCUUGAGUACAGAAGAGAAGAGUGGAAUUCCAUGUGUAGCGGUGAAAUGCGUAGAGAUGUGGAGGAACACCAGUGGCGAAGGCGACUCUUUGGUCUGUAACUGACGCUGAGGCGCGAAAGCGUGGGGAGCAAACAGGAUUAGAUACCCUGGUAGUCCACGCCGUAAACGAUGAGUGCUAGGUGUUGGGGGGUUUCCNCCCGUCAGUGCUGAAGCUAACGCAUUAAGCACUUCCGCCUGGGGNGACGCGCGAGNGNGANACANAGAGUAGAGNGNGAGAGNGACGACGACGACGACGAGGGAGGAGG